RNAcentral lists this ribosomal RNA (556 nucleotides) under uncultured bacterium. RNAcentral describes it as "bacterial SSU rRNA". It matches the Rfam family "Bacterial small subunit ribosomal RNA", at positions 119 to 674 of the family's 1533-position model. The record is from RNAcentral.
GAAUUACAUGCCCUUCAGUGGGGAAUAGCCCAGGGAAACUUGGAUUAAUACCCCAUGGUAUCGCGAGAUUAAAGGUGGCCGCAAGGCUGUCGCUGAAGGAUUGGUUCGCGCCCUAUCAGCUUGUUGGUGAGGUAACGGCUCACCAAGGCUACGACGGGUACCUGGUCUGAGAGGACGAUCAGGCACACUGGAACUGAGACACGGUCCAGACACCUACGGGUGGCAGCAGUCGAGAAUAAUUCACAAUGGGGGCAACCCUGAUGGUGCAACGCCGCGUGGAGGAUGAAGGUCUUCGGAUUGUAAACUCCUGUCAUCUGGGAGUAAGACCUGGCUGUGAAUAGCAGACAGGGUUGAUAGUACCAGAAGAGGAAGGGACGGCUAACUUCGUGCCAGCAGCCGCGGUAAUACGAAGGUCCCGAGCGUUGUUCGGAAUCACUGGGCGUAAAGGGAGCGUAGGCGGCGUGGUAAGUCAGAUGUGAAAUCCCGGGGCUCAACCCCGGAACUGCAUCCGAUACUGCCGUGCUAGAGGAUUGGAGAGGUAGCUGGAAUUCUUGGU